GACGAACGCUGGCGGCGUGCUUAACACAUGCAAGUCGAACGGAAAGGCCCUGCUUUUGUGGGGUGCUCGAGUGGCGAACGGGUGAGUAACACGUGAGUAACCUGCCCUUGACUUUGGGAUAACUUCAGGAAACUGGGGCUAAUACCGGAUAGGAGCUCCUGCUGCAUGGUGGGGGUUGGAAAGUUUCGGCGGUUGGGGAUGGACUCGCGGCUUAUCAGCUUGUUGGUGGGGUAGUGGCUUACCAAGGCUUUGACGGGUAGCCGGCCUGAGAGGGUGACCGGCCACAUUGGGACUGAGAUACGGCCCAGACUCCUACGGAAGGCAGCAGUGGGGAAUAUUGCACAAUGGGCGGAAGCCUGAUGCAGCAACGCCGCGUGCGGGAUGACGGCCUUCGGGUUGUAAACCGCUUUCGCCUGUGGCGAAGCGUGAGUGACGGUAAUGGGUAAAGAAGCACCGGCUAACUACGUG
This 468-nucleotide ribosomal RNA is filed under the name uncultured bacterium. RNAcentral's name for it is "partial 16S ribosomal RNA". It matches the Rfam family "Bacterial small subunit ribosomal RNA", at positions 28 to 507 of the family's 1533-position model. The record is from RNAcentral.